AGAGUUUGAUCAUGGCUCAGGAUGAACGCUAGCUACAGGCUUAACACAUGCAAGUCGAGGGGAAACGACAUCGAAAGCUUGCUUUUGAUGGGCGUCGACCGGCGCACGGGUGGGUAACGCGUAUCCAACCUGCCCACCACUUGGGGAUAACCUUGCGAAAGUAAGACUAAUACCCAAUGACGUCUCUAGAAGACAUCUGAAGGAGAUUAAAGAUUUAUCGGUGAUGGAUGGGGAUGCGUCUGAUUAGCUUGUUGGCGGGGUAGCGGCCACCAAGGCGACGAUCAGUAGGGGUUCUGAGAGGAAGGUCCCCCANAUUGGAACUGAGACACGGUCCAAACUCCUACGGGAGCA
Molecule: ribosomal RNA, 351 nt
Filed under: uncultured bacterium
Lineage: Bacteria
Description: bacterial SSU rRNA
Rfam family: Bacterial small subunit ribosomal RNA
Source: RNAcentral